UCAAAAACGUGAUGAUCAUCUUCUUCAUGAAAGAAAAAUUUCAAAUGCCCAUAACGUUUUCGCUUCUCAUCAGAAUUGCGUGAUUCUUGCGGCCAAGGAACGAGGAAGCGAUUAUCUACAGCUCUAUGGCAUCAAUUUGAGAUUGGACGAGCGACUGUCGACAAGAAGUGAGGCAAACGGAUCGAGAUAUCGUCAUGCUUAUUUGAAUAAUUUGGAUAGCAAGUGGGAUAGCAUGAUAUGAUUUGGAGAGUCAAUCUUCCGAAGUUCUAAUUCUCGGAAGUGAUUUUUACAAGAAGAAAAAGAAAGUUUUCAUUCUAGCGGUCCGCAGUAGUCUAGAUUGUUUUUGUCUAUGUAUUUGUAUAACACAUUUUAACUCUGAUUUUAUUUGUAAAUGAGGUCACAUGUAUUUUAUAUAUGAAAUAUGAUUUGAUUUGCGAAAAAUUUA
Mercurialis annua (annual mercury) is the source of this 445-nucleotide long non-coding RNA. RefSeq lists it as uncharacterized. The transcript has 3 exons. The record is from RefSeq and is a predicted model, not a curated record. NCBI's taxonomy places the organism in Eukaryota, Viridiplantae, Streptophyta, Magnoliopsida, Malpighiales, Euphorbiaceae.